AAGAAAAAUUGUUUCCGUGGUAUAAAUAGAGGAGUUAACAGUUCAGUCAAAUGUUACAGUAUGUCAUGUGGAUGUUUCCUCUCAAUCUUAGUAAGUUUGCAUCUACAGUUCCAUUUAUUUACUAGUUCCUUUAAGAGACCUGCAAAAUUUGAAACCUUAAAUAUUUCAGAAUUAAAAUUAUGUAUUUCACACAAAAAACAAGUGAACGUUUAAAACAGAAGUGUAUACAUAAUGACAGUGCAAAUAUCAGUCAGACUAGUUCCAACCCAUAGCUGGAGCAAAUUACCAUUACCAUGGGAACUGUUCUUAAUGGCCAUACAGGCUACUGGAAAAAGCCCAAAUGUCCUAGGGACAUUCUCCUUGGAGUGCUCUAACCUUGAAUAUGAGGACACUCUGCACUCCGUGUCUAACAGAUCUGAGUUACCAUUUACUGAGAACCCACAAUGGGCUUAGCCCUGUGCUCUGUGGUCAAUCAUGGCUAUAUUGUUGUUGAUCAUCACAACAACCUUGAAAGGUAAGUAUAGCCCAAGGACAGAUGAAAGACUCAAAGAGGUUAAAUGAGUUCUUGAAGUCAGAUAGCUAGAUGGUGGUCAAAGUGGGGUUUAAAUCUAGAAUUCUGAAUUUGAAAGGUGCAUGCUCUUUCUACCAUACCACAAUGCAACUCACUCUAAAGACACAUAGUGACUCUUUCAUAUGUUAACUGUUAGUAUAUUAAGUAUUCCAGAAUCCCAGAGUGAGUGUAAGCAGUGUUUCCUAAAACAUCAUCUACUACAGUAUUGCUAUCAGUCAUCUUUGCAAGAUCUUUUGUGUCUAUUUCCCCACCCUCUGAUAACACUCUGCAUCUAUGAUAGCUAUGGGCAGUCAGAUGGUGUGGAUAGGGCUGUCACCUCCCAGAUUCCGCCAAUCAGCUCUGGGUAGCAUGAUUUUCAGCUCUGGUUCUUGAAGCUCUGCAGACUCCCAGGAGCCCAGCCCAAACAGGUUUGGCUAAGGACCAGCUCUCAAAAGCAGACUAGAGCUAGCUUAGCACUGGUAUCUUAAACAUCAUAAUUUGAUCCUGUUUGAUUGAUUGGUUCAUAGUAAGGAAUGUAGUGGUGGUGAAAUCUGGCAGAUUAUCAAACUAGCUUUUGACUCUAUCUCACAAUGCUAGAUUUAAAAUAUUUAGAUAAUUAAUAGCAGUCCAGGAAAAAAAACCUUAAUUGGGAAAAAUAUCUACUGCAGAGAAAAAUCGUCCCUUAUCAUAAAUCAAAAAAAAUGUAUCAAUGAUUCAGAAGACUGGGAAGCAUAAAUGCAUUUUGUAAUAUCCUUCUAGUUUUUUAAAGCCGAAUAAGUUACUCUUAGAGAAAUCAAUUUUUAGACAAAAAUCCAUAUACAUAUGCCUAACAGCUUGCAAAAAAUAACUACUCUUCCUCUCUAAAAUAUAAAAUCACCUCCAACCUUGUGAUUAAAGUAAAGAAGACAACUUGGACAAAUAUUGUAAAAUCAAUCAACUCUCAAAAAUGAAGUCUAGAAGUACCUGGGAACUAUCUGUCCUUGGGCAAGAAAGAUUUUAUUAAUUAUAAAUACAAUGUUUAUUGGUCCUGUAACUGAGAUACACUUAUUAUAUGGAUCAUACUAGAGCAUUGAAGAGAAUUAAUUUGAAUUAAAUAAAUUAAAGGAGAACAAGCUUUUGAAAUAAUUUUAUUAUGUUGCUUUCACAAGUCUAAGUCACAUUGGAUCCAUAAUGUAGAAUGAUCACUUCAAUUAUUUCAAAACUAAAGCAAAUAUUGAAGUUUGAAGUAAGGACUGAUGUUACCUCAUUACAGAAUUUUAAAGGUGUUCUUUGUAUAAUAUAAAAUUCAAGUCCAUCUUUUAAGCUGCAUCUGGUUUUCAAAAUGUAUUUUAAAUGAUUCUCUUAGGUUGGCAAUGCUGAUGCCUAGUUUUUCCUUAUAAACUCAGGUGGUAGUUAUAUAUUGAUUCAGUGAACAGAACUGAAAGUAGAGUGAGAUAUAGCUUCUUCCUGGACAUGCCCAUUUUGUUACAUCACAUUAGAGAUGACAAGGACACAAAUCUUACGUGGCAUGAUGCCCUGGUCCACUAGUUGUUCUCUCGUCCUCCUUUGUUGCAGCCUCAGCUGGAGCACUGUGAAAAGGAAAUAAUCACCAUUGGAGUCUAUUGGCAACUGUCGGAUCCAACUUAUGAAGUUCCAGAGGAACAAAAAUAACCAAGGAGAUGACCUGUGGAUCUGAGAGCACCCAAAUGCCUGCAUUCUCUAACAUUCUUCUAUGAAUGCUAAAGUCAAUGCUUGUCUGAAAUUAAGGUGGUCAUAUCUAAGAGGCAGAAUCCCAAGAGAAGGAAUACUGAGAGGAGAAAAGGGUCAGAACAAGCUCCAGUUCAAAGGCUGACACUUCUGGAACACGAUGGUCCAUGUCUGUUGGAGAACCGCUAGCAGUAGUAGUUUUCCUUUCUCCUGAGGGAGUCCUCAAAGAAAGGAGUAAAAUAGAAAGGGUAAUGAAAACAUCAACAGCCCUCUUCUUUGGUUUAAAACAAACAAGCAACAAAGCACCAUACUUGUGAGACAAAUGUAUUGAAUGCAAUACAUAUUUUGGGCAAUGGCAUCUUGGAACGAUGGAUACAUUUGCAACAACUUGAUUUGCAAAUCAACACUGAUGACAACAGCUUGUUAGUCUUGAAGCGUCUCCUGAUUGUACAUUGGUCAGCUGCCCUCAUGCACCUCGACAGCAGCCCUAUCAGCUCUAUCAUCUUUGAUAGAAAGCACACUUUCAGGUUGACAUGCGGAGCUAUCUGCUACCACGAGGGUAUACAAAAUGAAUGCAUGUCACUAAUCAGCAAUAGUGAAAAUGAAACAAAAACGAAACACGAACCGUUUGUGUUUUCCAUCCAGUUUUCUACAUGGCAAAACAAAUGAACUAUCUUACUUAUGUGCUACUUCCCGAAGGUAGGAGAAUAAUCUUCCCAAUCGAUGCUCUCAUCAUUGCCUAUAUAAUUUUCCCAAGAAGCAAUAUCAUCACACUGCAAGUAUUACUCAUAGCAGUUGUGGCAGGCAGCCUUCCCCAGGCAUGUUCAUUUAUUAGGAGUCUAUGUAUCAGGUGCCUCUCAGUGACUGCAAUGCACGUAUGGGAUACACGGGCAAGAGCAGCAGCAGCUGUGAAUGGAAGGUCUGUUUUUAAGCAAAGAACAUGAAUGCAAGAGGAGGCAAAUAACUAGUUAUGAUGUUAAGACUGUUGAUUACCUAGCUUGAUUUAGUUUUCAUCUAUACCAGGUAGGUGGGCAGUACUGGACACACUAUAUUGAAUAUGAGGCACAAUGCCCUUCCCGAGUCGGGUACGUUGCCACUUUUGGGUCAAUGUUGAAACAUAAUUAUAGUAUUUAUUCAUAUUAAAUAAAACCAGUCACUCACAAGUUGAUAGAGACUCUUCUAAGAACAACUAAUGGUUAUAAAAAGUACCAAUCAAAUGGGUAUAGGGUCAUAAUUUUGGAAAAUAUCAAACUUCCUUUUAGUACUUCCUACUCAUCAAAUUAGUAAAAGAGUUAACACAAUAAAUGACACCGAUACCUGCACCUUACAGGCAGAAUGUCCAAGGCCAGGCAGAACAAGGCUUGGAUGGUGUAGACAGCUUAACUGUCCGGCACCACUGGAAAACUGGAGUUGGGCAGAAUUUGGCAGUGCUUAUUCAGGGCUGUGAAGGUAAGAGACCCUGAAAAUAGAGGACCUGACACUAGUGAUGAUCAGAGAGGCAUUUGUGGUUGUGGGAUCAAGACCCCCCUUUCUCAAGUUUCUCUGGGACAAUUAUGAAUUAAGCCUGGAGAACUCUUCUUCUCUUCGAAGCCUCCACACUCAUGUCCACAUGGAGGGAGGGAAGGCCCAGAUCACUGAAUGCUACUGGGCCUGUUGCACGGUUGUAGUUCUUAAGACCAAUGAAUAAACUGGUAUGCUGGCUGA
This is a long non-coding RNA of Equus caballus (horse), 3940 nucleotides long. RefSeq lists it as uncharacterized. Lineage: Eukaryota; Metazoa; Chordata; Mammalia; Perissodactyla; Equidae. The record is from RefSeq and is a predicted model, not a curated record.